GCUUGUCUCAAAGAUUAAGCCAUGCAUGUCUAAGUAUAAACAACUUUAUACAGUGAAACUGCAGAUGGCUCAUUAAAUCAGUUAUAAUUUAUUUGAUGAUUAACUUUACUACAUGGAUAACCGUAGUAAUUCUAGAGCUAAUACAUGCGCAAAUUCCCGACUGUCGCAAGGCGGAAAGGAUGUAUUUAUUAGAUCCAACCAGCCCGGUUCGCCGGAGUCCCUGGUGAGUCAUAAUAACUGAGCGAAUCGCAUGGCCUUGUGCCGGCGAUGGUUCAUUCAAGUUUCUGCCCUAUCAGCUUUCGAUGGUAGGGUAUUGGCCUACCAUGGCGUUAACGGGUAACGGAGAAUUAGGGUUCGAUUCCGGAGAGGGAGCCUGAGAAACGGCUACCACAUCCAAGGAAGGCAGCAGG
Molecule: ribosomal RNA, 410 nt
Filed under: uncultured Bicosoecida
Lineage: Eukaryota; Bigyra; Bicosoecida
Description: partial small subunit ribosomal RNA
Rfam family: Eukaryotic small subunit ribosomal RNA
Source: RNAcentral